GCGGGUGUGGCGGAACUGGCAGACGCACCAGACUUAGGAUCUGGCGGUUUAUCCAUGCAGGUUCAAAUCCUGUCACCCGCACCA
RNAcentral lists this transfer RNA (84 nucleotides) under Acidaminococcaceae bacterium. RNAcentral's name for it is "tRNA-Leu". It matches the Rfam family "tRNA". Rfam says of the family: Transfer RNA (tRNA) molecules are approximately 80 nucleotides in length. The record is from RNAcentral. Lineage: Bacteria; Bacillati; Bacillota; Negativicutes; Acidaminococcales; Acidaminococcaceae.